Molecule: transfer RNA, 78 nt
Filed under: Cloning vector pCW1
Description: tRNA-Ala
Rfam family: tRNA
About the family: Transfer RNA (tRNA) molecules are approximately 80 nucleotides in length.
Source: RNAcentral
GGGCUAUAGCUCAGCUGGGAGAGCGCCUGCUUUGCACGCAGGAGGUCUGCGGUUCGAUCCCGCAUAGCUCCACCAUAA